Long non-coding RNA from Passer domesticus (house sparrow), 1204 nucleotides. RefSeq lists it as uncharacterized. The transcript has 6 exons. NCBI's taxonomy places the organism in Eukaryota, Metazoa, Chordata, Aves, Passeriformes, Passeridae. The record is from RefSeq and is a predicted model, not a curated record.
GGCAGUCGGGUGGGAAGGCGCGGCCGGGCGGGGGUCACACCCCCGGGUCCCCCGCACCAAGCCCCGCAAAAAAAAAAGCUCUUUGUAGCUGGCUUCGGAGCGAACGGCGGCUGCCAAGGGGCUGCAAGGGGCCGAGCACCCAGGGAGCAAUGCCGGCAGCUGGGAGAAGGCGAGAACGCCUCUAAAAUCUAUCUGGUGUAACCCACAGCAGCGAGGUAGAAGCAAAGAGGGGGGGAAGAAGAUUGACAGUGUCAAACACACUUCGGGGAGAAACUCAGCAUUUCCCUGGACACCAAGAAGCUCCAGACAAUAUUUCAGACAGAGGGAGGUAGGUGGCAGAGGAAGACUGCAGCUUGAGAGAAGAAGUGGCUCGAUUCAAGCAGCAACAAGAAAAUCAGGUUUUCAGCAGAGCACAAACAGAGAACUUAGUCCUCACAGCUGCAAAAUCCAACUCCAUCUUCAGAAGCGAGGCUGGAAAAACAAACAAGAAGGAAUGAGGAAAACAAUAAGAAAACAAUGAACAAACAUACUGACACUACAGUUUCCAGGUUUUCUCCCAGACCCUCAGACCUUUAAGCAGCCUAAAGGGGUCCAACAGUUGUGCCAUACCUUUGUGAAGUUGUCAGAGAGGAUGUCACUGGAUGGAACGUGUGGCAGCUGUAAGAGAAGGCAAAUAUCAAUAGUGUAGCCUUGCCUCUUCCCCUUCACUCAUCUGAAAGCUGCUAUAGAAAUACUUCUGUAUCCUGAAGAAAUUGUGACUGUGCUUGGCUAAUGCUCAGGAUUCACCCAGGAAUUGCCGUGAAGUACACUGAUCGUAGGAGGUGUGAAGUGUGUUUUGCAAACCAACACUUGUCUGAAAGCACUCAGCCCCACCUCAAAUCUGAAUGGAGAAUAGUCUGCUUUAAAAUUUUUUCCAAAGCUUGGAUUAGACUGGAAUAGUUCAGCUGGAAGAGGCCUAUGAGGAUUAUCUAGUCCAACAGCCAUUUUAGACUUUUGCCUUGACUUGGAUCUGAAGUGAGGUGGCUUCAGCCACAGCACAGAACAAUGACCACUGUACAGCCACAGCUGCCUGUUGUCCAGUGCUACUGCCACACAUGGGCCCUGAAAGCUUGCCUUAUUCUGAUGCUAUGUCUGUUGGUGACUUAGCACUUGAUUUGGGUAAGAAAAUUAAAAAAGCUAAAUAAAAUAAUGACUCGAAACACUA